This 1112-nucleotide long non-coding RNA is filed under the name Olea europaea (common olive). Its description in RNAcentral is "long non-coding RNA (OEUR_LNC006561)". Lineage: Eukaryota; Viridiplantae; Streptophyta; Magnoliopsida; Lamiales; Oleaceae. The record is from RNAcentral.
UUUGAAUGGUUUUUUCCUUUGUCGUUUCAAUAGGGUUUGAGAAGAAAAAUCCGAUGCUGGAUACUGCUCUACUGGGGCUACUUGGUUGGUUAAGGACACUUGCGUGAGAAAAUCCAUGCUGGACGCAGUGGGGAAAUCAUAACAGGAAAACAAAUGUGUCAUCUGAAUACCACAAUGGGAAAUGAGAGGUUGCAUGAUGCUUUUUGCUCGAUUUUCACUUUUCUUUCGUCUUUGUGACGAAAUCUAGUCAAAGAAUAUCGAAACUGGUGAAGUAUAGUCUAUUGUCUCAACUCUCAAGUAUUAUAACUAUACAUGAAUGCUGUUCAAGAAGAACAAUUCUUAUAGCAGUGCCUUUCAAUCAAAUAUAUAUAUUUGCACUGCGCUUUCCUUAAUUAUGAAGUUGAACCGAAGAAGAAAAUAUAGGUUCAUUGAUCAUUCAUUAUUUGUAACUAAACUGGACUAGAAUAGGACGAAUCUAAAACAGAAACAGAAACUGGCCAGUUUGAGUUCGCUAGGAACCAAACGAGCUUUAUCUGAGAAUAUUCCAAAUCGAGACUGCACCAUUGAAAAGGUAAUCUUAAUAUCUCACCAAUUACAAUUGUCUUUACAUAAAUUUCACUGGAAAUAUGAAAUCUUUUGACAAGAGUAACAAAUACAUAGCAGUACUGGGAGGUAAAAUUAAUGUCCCAAGAUCUAUCUGCUUUUGAUUGAGAAAUCGUACAUAAAUGCGUAACAUACAAAAGGGAACGAACUAAUAAGGCGCAAUGAACCAAAUGAGAAUAUACACAAAAAUACAAUAUUUUCUGAUCAACCAGGAAAAUGCAUCUUACACCAACAAAUUGAAGUAAAAGCAUAUUGCAAACCAUUCAAUUCUGCACCAAGAAGGAAUCCAAAAGAUAUGCAUGCCCCAACGAUGGUAAGUGUUAUUAGAAUCCUCUCACGACAUGUUCAAUAUGGUGGAAUAGCACUUCACAGUAUUGAAAAGUGUUUUGUACCAAACAUUUUCUCUGUUUGAAUAGAUGUCCAUUUUCUUCACAGGUGGAUACGGAGCACAGAGUAUUGAUUUACACUUGUGUACUAGCAAGACGUCUCCAGUGUCCCACACGAGGUCC